Molecule: ribosomal RNA, 490 nt
Filed under: uncultured bacterium
Lineage: Bacteria
Description: partial 16S ribosomal RNA
Rfam family: Bacterial small subunit ribosomal RNA
Source: RNAcentral
AUUGAACGCUGGCGGCAGGCCUAACACAUGCGGGUCGAACGGUAACAGGAAGCAGCUUGCUGCUUCGCUGACGAGUGGCGGACGGGUGAGUAAUGUCUGGGAAACUGCCUGAUGGAGGGGGAUAACUACUGGAAACGGUAGCUAAUACCGCAUAACGUCGCAAGACCAAAGAGGGGGACCUUAGGGCCUCUUGCCAUCGGAUGUGCCCAGAUGGGAUUAGCUAGUAGGUGGGGUAACGGCUCACCUAGGCGACGAUCCCUAGCUGGUCUGAGAGGAUGACCAGCCACACUGGAACUGAGACACGGUCCAGACUCCUACGGGAGGCAGCAGUGGGGAAUAUUGCACAAUGGGCGCAAGCCUGAUGCAGCCAUGCCGCGUGUAUGAAGAAGGCCUUCGGGUUGUAAAGUACUUUCAGCGGGGAGGAAGGGAGUAAAGUUAAUACCUUUGCUCAUUGACGUUACCCGCAGAAGAAGCACCGGCUAACUCCGUG